UGGGUAUAGAGUUGUUGAAUCAGUGUGUUGUACCCCCUGAAACUCAAGUAACAUUGUACAUCAGCUAUUCUCCAUCAACCAGUCUGAAGAGUAGGACCCAUUCCCAAAGCUAACCGCGGUUCAUCAUGCAGUUAUUUAGAAGUGGGACUAGGGUCACAGACGUCUCUCAGAGGUGACAGAAUUUGAUUUGGGCCUUGAAGUUGAAGAAUUUGGAUAAGGAAUGUUUUACCCAUUAACCCAAGCCCUUUUGGUCAAGAAAGAAAGCCCUUGGGGCGCCUGGGUGGCUCAG
Long non-coding RNA from Suricata suricatta (meerkat), 289 nucleotides. RefSeq lists it as uncharacterized. The transcript has 3 exons. The record is from RefSeq and is a predicted model, not a curated record. Lineage: Eukaryota; Metazoa; Chordata; Mammalia; Carnivora; Herpestidae.